UACGGGAGGCAGCAGGUGGGGAAUAUUGCACAAUGGGCGCAAGCCUGAUGCAGCCAUGCCGCGUGUAUGAAGAAGGCCUUCGGGUUGUAAAGUACUUUCAGUCGUGAGGAAGGUGUUAAGGUUAAUAACCUUAGCAAUUGACGUUAGCGACAGAAGAAGCACCGGCUAACUCCGUGCCAGCAGCCGCGGUAAUACGGAGGGUGCGAGCGUUAAUCGGAAUUACUGGGCGUAAAGGGCACGCAGGCGGUUAAUUAAGUUGGAUGUGAAAUCCCCGGGCUUAACCUGGGAAUGGCAUUCAAGACUGGUUAGCUAGAGUCUUGUAGAGGGGGUAGAAUUCCAUGUGUAGCGGUGAAAUGCGUAGAGAUGUGGAGGAAUACCGGUGGCGAAGGCGGCCCCCUGGACAAAGGACUGACGCUCAUGUGCGAAAGCGUGGGGAGCAAACAGGAUUAGAUACC
RNAcentral lists this ribosomal RNA (455 nucleotides) under uncultured bacterium. RNAcentral describes it as "bacterial SSU rRNA". It matches the Rfam family "Bacterial small subunit ribosomal RNA", at positions 340 to 786 of the family's 1533-position model. The record is from RNAcentral.